Long non-coding RNA from Dicentrarchus labrax (European seabass), 3293 nucleotides. RefSeq lists it as uncharacterized. The transcript is spliced from 2 exons. Lineage: Eukaryota; Metazoa; Chordata; Actinopteri; Moronidae. The record is from RefSeq and is a predicted model, not a curated record.
UUCAUUGAUGGACGUUUACUGGUAGCUAUUAGCUAACUGCUAACUGCAGCUAACAGAGUGGGAGCUUCUAAUGUCCACUAAUUCAACUUCCUACUGACUCAAACACACACUUUUAUGAGGCACACACACACACACACACACACACACACAGACACACUGUUGGGCAGUGAAGCAGUUGUGAUGUCAUCGGCAAAACUGAAACAAAUGCCCAGAUUACUCAUUUCCUGUAGUGACAUCACUGUGUGUGUGUGUGUGUGUGUGUGUGUGAAACAUUAAAACAUCAUCAGUAGAAAUGUUUUGAUGUUUUUCUGCAUUCAAUUUUUUAUUUUUGAUAAAACAGAAUUCAUCUCAGGACACUUUUCUAAUAGUGCAGGUAGCAACAACUGUACUAAUAGAAAUUACUGAUGAUGACAACGAGGACAAUAAUAAUAUGAUAAUAAUAAUAAUAAUAAUAAUUUCAGUAAUUGUUAUAAUAUCAGUUAUAAUAAUAAUAUAAAUUAAUAAUAAUAGUAAUAACAAUAGUAACAAUUAUAUCAGUGAUAUUAGUAAUGGCAGUCAAGCAGGACCAUGGCAGGAGGCUCCACCAGGAUCCAUGAGAACCUGCGAGAUGAGAAAGCACAAGAACUCCGGGGAAGAAGUGAAGUUAGUAACAUGCAUUAAUGGAACAUGAAUGAGUGCAGAAAGAGAGAGGAAGAGAGGAGCUCAGUGCACCAUGGGAAAUCCCCCGAUAGUCUAGGCCAGGGGUGUACAAACUACGGCCUGUGGGCCAACUGCGGCCCAUGGUAGAAGUUUAAGUUUUGCCACGAGACAAAAAUGACGGAACCAAAGAAACGCAAGAUAGCGAGCGUGUAGAAAAUGUUCAGAUUUCAAUUUCAGACACGGUGGGAAAAUGAAUAUUUCUUCACAGAAGCUAAGGGGAAAUGUGUCUGUUUGAUUUGCAAUGAAACUGUUGCAGUGAUGAGAGUACAAUGUAUGAAGACACUAUGAAUCCAAACAUCAGACCUACACGUCCUCUACUGGUGCCGAGCGAGAACAGAUGGUUAAACAAAUGGCAGCUAGCCUGUUAGCUCAACAACAGUAUUUUUUCCGUGAUAACAAAACACAGGAAAUGCCACAAUAGCUAGCUACUAGGUAGCUCAGCACAUUGCCCGACACGGGAAGCCUUUCUCAGAUGGUGACUUCAUAAAACAGUGCCUCACUAAAGUAGCAGGAAUAAUGUGCCCAGAAAAAAUGCGGGAAUUCAACAACGUUAGCCUGUUCAGAAACACAGUUGGGUGGUGAAUCGAAGACUUGUCAGCAUGUUAAACAUCAACUGUCAGAUAAAGCUUUUGAUUUUUACUCCGUUGCAUGUGAGAGCACAGAUGCCACAGACACGGCACAGCUGGUAAUUUUUUUGCGUGGAGUUGAAGAUAACUUUUGCACUAUGGAGGAGCUGCUUGAUCAUAGGAGUCUAAAGGGCACAACAACGGGUAAAGACAUUUUUGAAGCCGUGUCAGAUGCAAUUGACAAGAUGGGACUAACAUGGAACAAGCUGUGUGGAGUUACAAUGGAUGGGGCUCCAGCAAUGACAGGCGAGCGCAAAGGAAUGACCUCGAUGGUGUGUGCCAAGGUGCAAGAGAGCAACAACUUCACACGCACAUGAAAGCAUUCUGUGUGAAGCUCCGUCUGUUUGAGACACAGCUGCGCAGCUUCAAUGUUGUGCACUUCCCCACGCUGUUUGAAAUCAAACAUCCUUUUCCAAAGGCCAAUCUUUCUGCUAAUAUGUGUCCAUGAUCACAUCUCUCAUGACAGAAUUCAGUCAGUGCUUCGCUGGUGGAUGCAGAAGAAGUGGAAGAGAGUCUGCAAUUAGAACUUAUCGAAAUGCAGUGUGAUGAUUCUCUGAAGAAUCAACAUCAGCUUCUCUCCUUACCUGAAUUUUACCGGAGUUUGGAAAAGGCCAAGUUUCCUCUGAUGAGAUGCCACAGAAAACGAAUGAUGUGUCUAUUCGGCUCAACAUACAUAUGUGAGCAGACAUUUUCCCUGUUAACUCUGAACAAAAGCAGACUGAGAACCAAAAUGGCCGACAGCCAUCUCUGUGAUGUCCUCCACAUCUCAACCACCAAACUUACUCCUGACCUGCCAGCCAUCCUUCAGUCCACUGAGUGCAACGCUGUUUCCAUUAUAGGGCUGUGAAGGGGGAUCACCAUCCUGAAUAAGAAGCAACCCGAAACUGCUGUUUUGAGAAUUAACUGCCACCCUUUUUGUAACAAAAUAAAUUAAUAAAUUAAAACCCAUUAAUAGAAAGAUGUGAGUGAUGUAGGCUGUUUUUUUCUUUAAGCAUAUUCAAUUAUCAAACAUUAUUUAUCUACAUUUGAUUGAUUUUGCCAACUUCAAUACACUAAAGGUGAGGCGAUACACUUCACUAUAGUGAGUGGCCCAGCCCCUUCAUAUAUUUUUCCGUAUGUGGCCCUAAGUGAAAAAAGUUUGGACACCCCUGGUCUAGGCCUAUAGCAGCAUAACUAAAGGAUGGUUCAGGACUCACCUGAGCCAGCCCUAACUAUAAGCUUUAUCAAAGCGGAACGUCUUAAGCCUACUCUUAAAUGUGGAGAGGGUGUCUGCUUCACAGGAGAGGAGCUUGGUAACUGAAGGCUCUGGCUCCUGUUCUACUUUUAGAGACUAUAGGAACCACAAGUAGCCCUGCAUUCAGAGAAUGCAGUGUUCUAGGGGGGUGAUAGUGUGCGCUCUUUAAGAUAUGAAGGGGCCUGACCAUGAAGAGCUUUGUAAGAGAGGGGCUUGGUAGCUGAAGGCUACAGUAACCCAGAAUGGAUAAAUACUGGAUCCUGAUAGAGACUUUACUGUAGUUUAUAUACACACUGACGGCUGAGCAGUAUUCAGUUGGUUGUAAUAUGCAACUCCAGCACAUAAGUGCAUCCAUGUUAACUGUUUGGGUUUGGUUUCUGUGUCUGAUGUCACUCGUUCCUUCAGCAUUAUAUCAUCCUUUUAUCCAGAGUCACACUGUGUACUAACUGUUGCUCUUUUUAAGGCGGAAUUGUAGUUGGACAGUGAGUGUUGGAAAAAAAAUGAUUUGUCCUCCACAGUUUUUGUAUUGAAUUCAUUUUCCGUCAGUCAGGAUAACAAAAGGUGAUUAGACCAGAAGUGACUGAUGUAGAUCUGACGACGUCCAUAAUAUAAUAUAAUAUAAUAUAAUAUAAUAAUAAUAGGAAUUCGGUCUAGGCCUGCUCUAUUUGAAAAGUGUCCUGAGAUAACUUCUGUUAUGAAUUGGCGCUAUACAAAUAAAAUUGAAUUGAAUUGAA